RNAcentral lists this microRNA precursor (96 nucleotides) under Nicotiana sylvestris (wood tobacco). Its description in RNAcentral is "MIR6152 microRNA precursor family". It matches the Rfam family "MIR6152 microRNA precursor family". Lineage: Eukaryota; Viridiplantae; Streptophyta; Magnoliopsida; Solanales; Solanaceae. The record is from Rfam by way of RNAcentral.
UGGACAGAUUACCGUAUUCGACUGUAUUCACGGCGUGAAACAGGGGAUUACACUGUUUUUAAACGGAAAGUGUAUCAAUUAACAUAAUAGACUACU